Molecule: long non-coding RNA, 2027 nt
Organism: Musa acuminata AAA Group (dessert banana)
Lineage: Eukaryota; Viridiplantae; Streptophyta; Magnoliopsida; Zingiberales; Musaceae
Exons: 4
Source: RefSeq, a predicted model, not a curated record
UUAGCACUGUGAUCAGGUAUCGACAUAUUCUGUGACGUCUGUCAUUUUGUAAAGGUUGUUGUUUGAAAGACUUGAUUUUCAUGCAUGAAGAUAUAACUUUUAUGCCUUAUCCAAUGACUUUUCAUGUGACUUGGCAGACUAUCAUUUCUGCUUUUGGUUUGUGAAGUGAGGUUUGAUUCAGCAUUUGAUGUCUGUCAAGCUGAAGUGGGUGUUCCUUGGGAUGCCCAGUGCUCUUGCCUUUCCAAAUAUCUUGUAUUUUGUUUUUGUUCAUCUUUAGACGACAAAUCAUCCUUGAGGUAGUCUUUUCUAUUACGUUUGUGCAAUUGUUUUAUAGAAGCAGCUGAUAUCUUGAUUUGACAUAGAAGCAUCUGGCGUGGGGCUUGCAAGCUCAUAGACUUGUAGUAGUGAUUGAGAUGUAUCUGGUUGAUCAAGCUAUUGGAUUUGUGGAUAAAUGUGAAUUGGAUUGGGACAUUGUGGAGAAAGGUUGGUUGCACAUGUAGAUAGAUGGGUGGAUGUGAUGUGGCAGUCAAAAAAAAAAAAGGAAAAAAGAACUGUGUGGUGAGAUGAUGUGAUUGUUAUAUUUGAGCUGUUUGGUGGCUAUUAUUCAGUUGUCCUUCAUGCCCAAUUCUUCAAAGAAAACCUUGACCCUCAUUCUUAAUACAACUACUGUGGCAGUCUCAUGUCAUAUGCUUUUUUAGGUUUAUACCAUUGUAUAUGUAAUUCUUUAGCCUUUGCUUGGUACAUAUGAUUCUUAAUCCAGAGGUCACAAUAUGAGACUCAUUCCUUGCUUUUGCUUUCAUUUGAAUCAUAACAUUUAUAUUUCCUUGGAACUAAACUCUACUGUGGCAUUCCUUAAUUUUAAUUCUUCAUAUAACUAAUAUUUGCUUCAAUAAUUACAGCAUGCUUUGACUUUGUUGACCUGUAGGUAACCAAGCAGCAGAUCUGGAGAAAGAAAAGGUUAUCAAUGAUUGCUUCAUUAUUGUCUUUUUAAAUCAUGCAUUUGUGGCUCUUAACAUGUCAUGCACAUAGAUAGCUCUUUAUAACAGGGUAUUUAAUUUUGAUAGCAAUUGUUAAGACUUUUUUGUUUUAGGAGUACAAUUGCAAAGGCUUCACAUCAACUAAUUAAUUGGUAUUUUUGGUGCUCUCUCUCCCUCUAUCUUUCUAAUUUUUGAAGAUUCACAUCAAUUAACUAUUGUUGGUACUCUCUCACACACAGACACACAUGCACUAAAUAAUGCGACUGACUUUGAUUUGAAUCAUAUAGUUGGAUCUGAAUUCCUCUUUCAUUUUUCCUGUAGGACUACUACAUCUGUGUAAUUGGAUAAAAUGGAGACACGUGAUCUUGUACUUGAGUUUCAUGGAGCACAAAGAAGGGAACUCUGUAAAUUUCUCGAGGAGCUUCGUACUGUUUAACCGCAGUGGAAGAUGGGACGAUCUAAUUGCUUGUUGCUUGUUGCUUGUUAGGGACCAGCAGCAUAAAUUUCAGAGAUGACCUUCUAUUGGAUGCAAAUGGUACCACCCACCUGCUCGAGGUAUGACAAAACCAGUCUACAAUUGCACCAGUAUGCAGACUCUGGUGCAGGUAUCAGGAAUCAUGUAGUAAAACUAAAGGCAGAAAGAGCCGACGUUGGAUCCCAGCACAUGUUUCAUGCUUCCUCGUUUUAGGGCUGCACGACGUUCCCGGACCACCCAGAGGUGACGAGGAUAACGAAAAGAAGACCGGGAGGCGCUACAAGACAAAGGGCCGGGCUGAGCUUUAAGCGAAACCCGAUGCGGGCACCCACUGGUGCACCCAUCACUCGCGCACCGAAGCCCUCCAAAUCAUUUCCCGUCGCUUAUUUAAACGCGGCUGAGCCAGGAAACGGGAAAGGGGGUCACCCGGUGCACCACCCACGAGGCGAGCGUGUCAUCUGAUCUUUUUCUUUUGCAUACAGCCCGGAGAAAGAAAAAGCAAUGUCUUUAUCUGCUUUGUUAUAUUCCGGCUUAUUCUGGCGUGGUAUUAUGAAAUAGGCGCCUCAGGUUUUACA